AAUCAACGCUGGCGGCGUGCCUAACACAUGCAAGUCGCACGAGAAAGGGACUUCGGUCCUGAGUACAGUGGCGCACGGGUGAGUAACACGUGAAUAAUCUACCUCCGAGUGGGGAAUAACUGAGAGAAAUCUUAGCUAAUACCGCAUAACACUUACGAGUCAAAGCAGCAAUGCGCUUGGAGAGGAGUUCGCGGCAGAUUAGUUAGUUGGCAGGGUAANGGCCUACCAAGACGAUGAUCUGUAUCCAGCCUGAGAGGGCGCACGGACACACUGGAACUGAAACACGGUCCAGACU
This 295-nucleotide ribosomal RNA is filed under the name uncultured bacterium. RNAcentral's name for it is "partial 16S ribosomal RNA". It matches the Rfam family "Bacterial small subunit ribosomal RNA", at positions 32 to 337 of the family's 1533-position model. The record is from RNAcentral.